Long non-coding RNA from Oncorhynchus keta (chum salmon), 535 nucleotides. RefSeq lists it as uncharacterized. The transcript has 3 exons. The record is from RefSeq and is a predicted model, not a curated record. Lineage: Eukaryota; Metazoa; Chordata; Actinopteri; Salmoniformes; Salmonidae.
GCUGUGUUGGAGUGGAGGUGCUACAGGAGAAGCUGUGUUGGAGUGGAGGUGGUACAGGAGAAGCUGUGUUGGAGUGGAGGUGCUACAGGAGAAGCUGUGUUGGAGUGGAGGUGCUACAGGAGAAGCUGUGUUGGAGUGGAGGUGGUACAGGAGAAGCUGUGUUGGAAUGUAGGUGGUACAGGAGAAGCUGUGUUGGAGUGGAGGUGGUACAGGAGAAGCUGUAAUGGAGUGGAGGUGGUACAGGAGAAGCUGUAAUGGAGUGGAGGUGGUACAGGAGAAGCUGUAAUGGAGUGGAGGUGGUACAGGAGAAGCUGUAAUGGAGUGGAGGUGGUACAGGAGAAGCUAUUUUGGAGUGGAGGUGGUACAGGAGAAGCUGUCUGGUCAUCAAGCCUCAGAUUGUGACAAACACAGGGCGAGAGAGGAGGAUGACUGGAGGAGGACGAGGCAGCGGGGCAUCCUCUCCUCCUUUUCCCUCCCUCGCUCUCAUCUGUCACCGGGAGGAAGUUGCUGAGCAGACAAACCUUCGCCUGAGGAG